This 745-nucleotide small RNA is filed under the name Malus domestica (apple). RNAcentral describes it as "sRNA MD05G0212200". The record is from RNAcentral. Lineage: Eukaryota; Viridiplantae; Streptophyta; Magnoliopsida; Rosales; Rosaceae.
ACAGAAAAGCUAAGCAUGGAUACUGAGUGAGAUAGGAUAAGUUAUCCACUGUUUUGCCACGCGUCGAUCAUCGUGGAUAAGUUCUCUUCAAUUGCAUCUCUCCAAAUCUCCUUUAGUUUCCAAAAUGUCCUUCUGUUUCCAUUUGCUUUCCUUUUCUCAACCUUUGGUUUCCGAUCUUCUCAUCUUUCUCAUUUUUCUCAGCCAAAUCAUCUGUGCAAAUUUCUUGCGUUUAAAACCCUUGGAAAAAUAAAUAGUUGCUGCAUCUUGCGUUUAAAAUCCCUGGGUUAGUACUGAUUUUGUUGGUUUUUCGAUUUUAUCAGGGUAGAUUUGUUACCUCCAAGGUCCACCUCUGUUUGGUGGACACUUUGCUCUUCGUUUUUUGGGGCUUCUAUGUCCAGCUUCGAACCCGUUUAUGCUCAAGACCAUAAUUUUUAAGCAACAAAAUUAAGCUGGAAAUUAAAUUGAGCUUCCAGGAUCUACAGUUGCAAUGCCUUUGAUGGAUAAAACACAGAGGACCCAGCUACUCUUAUAGAGCUUCUUUAGCAUUGUAAUGCUAUUCAGAGUGGUUCAAAGAAUUUCAAGAGCUUCAUUCAUCCAAUUUAUGCUUUUCAUGUAAAAAUUCUUUCAAUAAAUUUAAACAUUUUUCGGUGUAGAUAACAUUAACAUUUUGUAACAAUAUAUUAUAGCUUUGAAAUAUUUUUUUCACACGAUUUUUAAUCCCGCAGCAACGCGCGGGCAAUAUUUC